UCUGCCACUUCCCCCUAGCUGGUUCCCUCCGAAGUUUCCCUCAGGAUAGCUGGCGCUCAGAGUCUCGCAGUUUUAUCUGGUAAAGCGAAUGAUUAGAGGUCUUGGGGCCGAAACAAUCUCAACCUAUUCUCAAACUUUAAAUGGGAGAUGGAAGAGCACACGUC
Sander lucioperca (pikeperch) is the source of this 164-nucleotide long non-coding RNA. RefSeq lists it as uncharacterized. The transcript is spliced from 3 exons. The record is from RefSeq and is a predicted model, not a curated record. NCBI's taxonomy places the organism in Eukaryota, Metazoa, Chordata, Actinopteri, Perciformes, Percidae.